UCCGGCUUAUCACCGGCAGUCCCACUAGAGUGCCCAACUAAAUGAUGGCAACUAAUGGCGAGGGUUGCGCUCGUUGCGGGACUUAACCCAACAUCUCACGACACGAGCUGACGACAACCAUGCACCACCUGUAUACCGCCCUUGCGGACCCCAUAUCUCUAUGAGUUUUCGGUAUAUGUCAAGCCUUGGUAAGGUUCUGCGCGUUGCUUCGAAUUGAACCACAUGCUCCACCGCUUGUGCGGGCCCCCGUCAAUUCCUUUGAGUUUUAAUCUUGCGACCGUACUUCCCAGGCGGGAUACUUAAUGCGUUAGCUUCGUCACCGGAGCGAUUAGGAACUCCGACGACUAGUAUCCAUCGUUUAGGGCGUGGACUAC
RNAcentral lists this unclassified non-coding RNA (374 nucleotides) under uncultured bacterium. Its description in RNAcentral is "contains 16S-23S intergenic spacer region". The record is from RNAcentral.